GACGAACGCUGGCGGCGUGCUUAACACAUGCAAGUCGAGCGGUAAGGCCCUUUCGGGGGUACACGAGCGGCGAACGGGUGAGUAACACGUGGGUGACCUGCCCUCAGCUCUGGGAUAAGCCCGGGAAACCGGGUCUAAUACCGGAUAUGACUCCAUGACGCAUGUUGUGGGGUGGAAAGCCUUGUGCGGCUGAGGAUGGGCCCGCGGCCUAUCAGCUUGUUGGUGGGGUGAUGGCCACCAAGGCGACGACGGGUAGCCGGCCUGAGAGGGCGACCGGCCACACUGGGACUGAGACACGGCCCAGACUCCUACGGGAGGCAGCAGUGGGGAAUCUUGCGCAAUGGGCGAAAGCCUGACGCAGCGACGCCGCGUGAGGGAUGACGGCCUCGG
Molecule: ribosomal RNA, 390 nt
Filed under: uncultured bacterium
Lineage: Bacteria
Description: bacterial SSU rRNA
Rfam family: Bacterial small subunit ribosomal RNA
Source: RNAcentral